AAUCAACGCUGGCGGCGUGCCUAACACAUGCAAGUCGAACGAGAAAGGGGACUUCGGUCCCUGAGUACAGUGGCGCACGGGUGAGUAACACGUGACUUAUCUACCCUCGAGUGGGGAAUAACUUCGGGAAACCGAGGCUAAUACCGCAUAAUACCCACGGGUCAAAGGAGCAAUUCGCUUGAGGAGGAGGUCGCGGCCGAUUAGUUAGUUGCGGGGUAAUGGCCCCACCCAAGACGGUGAUCGGUAUCCGGCCUGAGAGGGCGCACGGACACACUGGAACUGAAACACGGUCCAGACUCCUACGGGAGGCAGCAGUGGGGAAUUUUGCGCAAUGGGGGAAACCCUGACGCAGCAACGCCGCGUGGAGGAUGAAGUCUCUUGGGACGUAAACUCCUUUCGAUCGGGACGAUUAUGACGGUACCGGAAGAAGAAGCCCCGGCUAACUUCGUG
RNAcentral lists this ribosomal RNA (450 nucleotides) under uncultured bacterium. RNAcentral's name for it is "bacterial SSU rRNA". It matches the Rfam family "Bacterial small subunit ribosomal RNA", at positions 32 to 507 of the family's 1533-position model. The record is from RNAcentral.